UACGAAGGGGGCGAGCGUUGUUCGGCAUUACUGGGCGUAAAGGGCGCGCAGGCGGCGAGUUUUGUCAGGCGUGAAAGCCCCGGGCUCAACCUGGGAACUGCGCUUGAAACGGGCUUGCUGGAGACCGGGAGAGGAGAGUGGAAUUCCCAGUGUAGAGGUGAAAUUCGUAGAUAUUGGGAAGAACACCGGUGGCGAAGGCGGCUCUCUGGACCGGAUCUGACGCUGAGGCGCGAAAGCGUGGGGAGCAAACAGG
Molecule: ribosomal RNA, 253 nt
Filed under: uncultured bacterium
Lineage: Bacteria
Description: partial 16S ribosomal RNA
Rfam family: Bacterial small subunit ribosomal RNA
Source: RNAcentral